GAUGAACGCUGGCGGCGUGCCUAAUACAUGCAAGUCGAGCGAACGGACGAGAAGCUUGCUUCUCUGGUGUUAGCGGCGGACGGGUGAGUAACACGUGGAUAACCUACCUAUAAGACUGGGAUAACUUCGGGAAACCGGAGCUAAUACCGGAUAAUAUUUUGAACCGCAUGGUUCAAAAGUGAAAGACGGUCUUGCUGUCACUUAUAGAUGGAUCCGCGCUGCAUUAGCUAGUUGGUAAGGUAACGGCUUACCAAGGCAACGAUGCAUAGCCGACCUGAGAGGGUGAUCGGCCACACUGGAACUUGGACACGGUCCAGACUCCUACGGGAGGCAGCAGUAGGGAAUCUUCCGCAAUGGGCGAAAGCCUGACGGAGCAACGCCGCGUGAGUGAUGAAGGUCUUCGGAUCGUAAAACUCUGUUAUUAGGGAAGAACAUAUGUGUAAGUAACUGUGCACAUCUUGACGGUACCUAAUCAGAAAGCCACGGCUAACUACGUG
Molecule: ribosomal RNA, 497 nt
Filed under: uncultured bacterium
Lineage: Bacteria
Description: partial 16S ribosomal RNA
Rfam family: Bacterial small subunit ribosomal RNA
Source: RNAcentral